Molecule: transfer RNA, 72 nt
Filed under: Sphingobacteriales bacterium
Lineage: Bacteria; Pseudomonadati; Bacteroidota; Sphingobacteriia; Sphingobacteriales
Also listed under: 1 other name
Rfam family: tRNA
About the family: Transfer RNA (tRNA) molecules are approximately 80 nucleotides in length. Their secondary structure includes four short double-helical elements and three loops (D, anti-codon, and T loops).
Source: Rfam by way of RNAcentral
GGCUGCGUAGUUCAAUGGAUAGAAUAGCUCAUUCCUAACGAGUUGAUACAGGUUCGAUUCCUGUCGCGGCUA